Molecule: ribosomal RNA, 247 nt
Filed under: uncultured bacterium
Lineage: Bacteria
Description: partial 16S ribosomal RNA
Rfam family: Bacterial small subunit ribosomal RNA
Source: RNAcentral
GUAGCUUGCUAUGGUAUACUUAGUGGCAGACGGGUGAGUAAUGUAUAGGAAUNUACCUAGUAGUACGGAACAAUUAGACUGGAAACGGCAACUAAUACCGUAUACGCCCUACGGGGGAAAGGAUUUAUUGCUAUUAGAUGAGCCUAUAUUAGAUUAGCUAGUUGGUGGGGUAAUGGCCUACCAAGGUAGUGAUCUAUAGCUGAUCUGAGAGGAUGAUCAGCCACACUGGAACUGAGAUACGGUCCAG